AGAAAUUUAGGUUAUCGAAACCAAGGACCUUCAAAGCCCUAAAAGAAAGUAAGAAACUCUCAAUUUCUG
RNAcentral lists this transfer RNA (69 nucleotides) under Varanus mertensi. RNAcentral describes it as "tRNA-Trp". The record is from RNAcentral. Lineage: Eukaryota; Metazoa; Chordata; Lepidosauria; Squamata; Varanidae.